UGAGUGCUGAGGAGUGGGUGCUGGGUGGCUUCCCUGGGCAAGCUGGUUGCUGAGCUGCACAGGCCCUUGCAUUUUCUGGGCUGUUCCCGUGUUUCAUUCCUCCCCUUCCCGGACAGUAUUUGAACAAGACGUAUUUUACUAAAGGCUUCGUGGAUUGCAGGGUCCCACGACAUCACCCCUCGAUGCAGUCGAUGGUUUGUUCCAGAUUCAGGCUUGUUUCUGGGAAGAAACGCUGACAGAAAUUCAGAAGAACGGGAGCUGCAUUCCUUUAGGACAUGAAUACAUGAAAUGCUCGUUUUGGGAACUUCUAGAAGAAUGAGCUGGAACCCACUUUCCGAGUCCUGCUGGAACCAGAGACCGAGAUAUUGCCCAGGUGUCUGAAUGACUGCACUGGGGUACCUAACUUCUUUUCUGAUAGACUAUAUUCCCGUAAGUAUUGCAGUCAGCGUACCUUUGGACUUUAUCCAAAGGUGUGUGUAUCUUUCAGUCUGUUCACUUAAUUUUCUUUCAGUACUUUAAUGUUGAGGGAUUCAUAAUUGGAUUGAUUUUCACUAAAUGAUAUGAGCUGCAGUUCCAACCAUGACAGAAAGCAUGGGCUUCCUGUGUUAGGUACUCAAGAGCAAGGCAGAUAUCCUGGGCACUUGAGCUGAGAAUGUCACUCUUUUUGCCAGCCCUCUUCCCUACCCUUGGAGACAAGAGUCUCCUUUUGGUCACACAGAAAUGCAGGUGAAGUCAGCAGAGAAAGGUCCCUUCUCUUCCCUUCCCUUUGUCUCUCAAACUCCCUGUCGCUACCUUCUGCCUGUCCCUUUCUCUGACUCAAUCCCCCAGGUCCCCUGCUCCAAUCCAGCCACGAUCAGGGUGUCCUCCAGCUGCUGGCCUCUACCCUGUCCAUCCCUCAGUGAGGAAACUGCAGUAGGAUUAUGUAGUUCACAGGUCUGAUCCAGAAAUCUCUGCUCCUCAGAGCCCUCCUACACGUGGUGCUAUCUGUGGAGACCUGGCAUCCUGGGUUAGGGUCUGACUCCAUUGUGGCCUCUUCACUCCUCUCCCACAGUCACUGCUGGUCCCUCAUCCUUCCCCAUCAUUAGAACUCCGUCAUUUCCCAGGGACAGAUACCUGUCUAUCUGACCCCAAGGCACCAAGGAGUCAGUGAAUAUUUCUAAAAUAAAUGAGCAUAAGCACCCCAUCAGUCUAGAUAUAGGAAGGUCCCAUCACCCCAGAAAACUCCCUCGGGCUCCCCUGCACAAAAGGUGAUCUUCUAUCCUCUAUUUCUGCCAGUUUGUUACCUGUGUGUACAGGAACCCCACUGUGUGCACUCGAUGGGGAUUGAGAGUAGAUGGGUCUAGAAGCAGACGCCGACACAGAAAACGAUGAAAGGUGGGUUAGGGGACAGUAGGAAGGACAAAGUGGAGGGGACAGGAUGGGCAGGGAAAGCAUUCAGGCAGAUCUGACACCUUCUUAAAAUGUAUAUACAAACACAACACCAUAGUCUGUCACCGUGCACAGUCCUCUUCAAAUUUCAAAAGAGUUGUCCUAUAAGGCAAAGAGAUUUUGGGUAUUUCCCUCUGAUCUUAUGUCUUCCUACAUGCAUUCUGUCUUCUGUAGUUUAUCUGUGGCUGUGACCUCAGAUGAACACUUUAGUGUGUGGCUGCAUCUGUGAGAUUAUAUGUAAUGGAAAAUGAUUGUCUUCAGAUCUGGAUCUCUGAAUGUACACAGGCUCAUAAUUAUCUUUUCUUUCUUUGCCUGGAAGGGCCCGAAUUUUAACAGAAAAACAAGGGACCUUACCUUACUGUUUAAAACCGUGAUUCCCAAUCCCUGGGCUGAGUUGUUAACAGUCUUAGUUUAAUGAACUUCGGUGACCAUCUUUUUUGGAGGACCUUUGUGUGGAGAUAUCUCAAUUGAAACUGUGAGAAGGGUGAGUGCACACUUCCCAGAGAUUUUGCAGAUGCUUUAUGUAUAUAAUGUCUUCUUUUUAAAAUGUUCUUAGAAACAAAUAUUACCCCUGUUUUCGCAGAAAACACAGCUGAGACUCUGUGUAGGUCCCACUGAGAACUGGUACUAGGGCUGAGACAGCAGGAACACAGGCAAAGCCUCAGGAUAUUGUGAGAGAAGUCUGAGGAGAUGCAAAGCUGUAGUCAGGGUGAUGACAGGGGUCCAGCGGGGGCAGCUUCUGGCCAACCCUGAAUUGUAGGUUGACCCACUAAGUGGGCCUGAGUCUGACUCAGGCUGAAGGCCAAUGCAGGCACUCAGCUGAUCUAGAUCCUGUCUCCACUUCUAGUCUCACUGAGGGAUAUGAACUUGGGCAUACAGCAUUUUCAUAACACCAAGUUAAAUUCCCCAUAUCUCCAGGGCUUUUUUUCCCCCACAAAUACCCAGAACCUUCAGGAAAAUCCAGGGAGACAAUCUUUUUAGAUGAUUACCUGCAUGCACUUUGGCAACACACUGACAUUUUGGAGAUGAACACUGCAUUGUGCACUGAGAGCGACCCCACAUAGCAGCUCUGUGUGGACCUCACACUCCCUGCUCAGGCUGUGGCCAGGAAUGACCUCCAACUGCAUCUCACUAACCCCAACACCUUCCCCUCUGCACCUCCUCAAACUCUGCUUACUGUGCUCAACUUCCCUUCUAUUCCUGUAUGAUUCAAGGUUCCCCCAUUUUUGCACUGGAUCCUUCACCGGUGUUUCCAUUAUGGUGAUCACAAGGUCUGCGUCAUUUAAUGCAUGUCCCUCUUUCACACAGGACACCUGAUGCUCUAAAAGUUAGGGGUGCGCCUCAUUCUUUACAGAACCCAAAAUAUUGUGUCUCCAAAAUAUGCACCAGUGCUGCUGAUACGUCUGCUUUUGUGUAAAAAAUCCUUUCAUUUGACAAGAGAAAUGUAUAGCUCACCGUAUUACAGGGAAAUGACACUGCCCAUUGUAUGCAUGUCCUGAGAAACUUGAGAUAUGCUACAGUGUCCUCAGGCAGUUGGUAGUUGCAUUGCCGAGACUCACAGCCAUCUCUACAUCAUUCCCACAAAGUCAAUCGUGAAGAAGAUGAAUAUACUUUACCAGCCUCUCAUCCGGUUCAGGUCAUCUUAACAAAUAGAGGAGGUGGAGGAGCUGGUGGUGGAGGGGGACGUGGCCUAUAGCCCAUGACUGGUGGUGAAGGGUGGUCCAUGGGGAACAGCCUGCAAGGCGAUCCUGGGAAAGGACCAGGCCCUCUUGAAUACAUAAUAGCCUGCGGGAGAGAAAUGAAAGGUAUGUUCAUAGGACAGAACAGAGCACCAACACCAGCAAAAAAGCAGAAGCCCAAAGCAGCAGUGCUCAUAUCCUACUAGCUUCCCCACCACCAGGUUCCAAGAGGGCAGCAUCAGCGCCAAAAUCUCUACCCAGACUUUGGGUUCCACUUACAGCUUUGGGGUGGGAAGAGGAUGUGAUUGGGGUAAACUAGUGUCUCCACGUGUCUGGAAACGUUGAAACAGCAAGGGCUCUUUUCAUACAAGAUUUAUAGACUGAAUACCAAACUAGCAAAGUAGCAUAUUCCAGAUAGGAAGGCAUCUCUGUCCAGGAUCACCCUCCACCCUUCAUCCCCCUCCACCACAGAGGCUGCUUAUGUGUAUGUGAAGAACUACAGAAUAAGAAGGAAUGACAAUGCCAGUGUCCACACAUGGAAUCAUAGCCCUCGUGGCUCAAAGCUCUGCCUCUAAGCCCCUGCCUGUGCCCAAACUACUGUCCUGACCAUGGGGUCUCCUCUCUGGAAGUGCUGUCCAUGGGCACAGAGACACAUGGGGAGAUGGGGAUCCUGAAGGCCUGUAGAGGACCUGGGAAAGCAUGCUCUUAGAGAAACAGGUAACCUAUACAUGUUAGUUGGGUUCAUCUAAUUUCUUUUAAUUCAGAGGUACUUCUCAGCUUAAGUACAGUACAUUUUGCAGGGUAAUUGUGUCCUCUGGAAAAAUGAGGUGAAAUUCUAAAAGACAAAAUUAACACAAAUGCACUUUGAUGUCUGGUGUAAGUUUCCAUGUUUUAGUGAUACCUGUGACACAGGACACGAGAUAACGUGCUCAUGUGAACACAAGUGAAGGACACUGUGGGGACUUGCCACAUGGGUAAUUUUGGAUUUUUUCUCUUCACAACUUAAGUUCCAGUACACGUUUUCUAUGACAAAUAUGCCACCUCUUAUAGUUCAGAGUAUUUAUACCCAGGGCACACCUGAAGGGAUUCUGGACAGCAUGUUUACCAAAAUGCUAAUGGGUAUGAGAUUUACUUUGUCUAAGACCAUUCUAAAUGACACAUACAAAAAUAUAAGUUGGAGUGAAGGCAGUUCGCAUUUUCAGAUUGUAAGGAUACCCACAGAUUUUCCUGACCACGUUAAAACCCUCGAUAGAAGGAAACAGGAGAGGAAGAAACAGCAAGAGCAAUGGUUCCACAUUGAGGAGAUCCACAGAGAAUGAGCCAAAGUAGGAGACUUCCAAGUGGAGGGUGGUGUCAUCCUCCUUGAUUUAUUCCAGGAACACACUGGAAAAGCCCUAUGGUCCCCACCCUUAGACACGCUUCGCUGCUCAACUUACCACAAACAGAUGCCAGCUGGGAAGCCCGUAGACUCGGCGGUAAAGGUUUUGCAUUUGGGAAAAAAACAAAAACAGCAGGCAUACCAUACGACACACAAACCAGAGACAAUGGCAGGAGAGUGUCUUGUACAGAAAGAUGUGGAUGUCCGUAAAGACAGAACUGAAAAUGGCCACAGCAUUUACCUUGUGUUUCUCGGCAGUUUUGGCAGAGCCAGUGUUGAUGUCACUCUUGGGUGUGACACCUGCUCCUGGACCUGCAAAAAGCCCAAGAAUGGAUGGAGGUUUAUUCUGACUUGAGUAGACUGGAGACCAAAAACAAAACAAAAAACCCUCCCCUCAUACUUCCGACAACUUAAAGUCUUUGUCCCAGUGAGAUCCCAAAUUACAUGCACAGGGUGACCCACAUGCCUCCAGUGAUCCCCAAGAAGAACUUGAAGAACCAUCCCUUAUAACUCGAUGAAGACUCCUAAAAGCCCUGAUUCAGAUGUAUUCAUCACUCAGCAAACAACUACGGAUGGCUGGGGGCACAACUAGAUGGACAUACAUUACGUUGUGCCUCAUGCCUCACAGAUCCCAGCACGUGGACUGUGUACAGGGCAUUUCUGCUGAAGCGCUAUGUCUGAUUUGCUGCAUACGGCCCCAUUCCUUCUCCACAAGAGACGCCUGUACCCACCCAUGAUGGGGGAAAUGACAAAGAUGAGAUCCUGAGAAACUUGAGGAAUGUGGUAAUGGCAGCAGACGUUCCCCUUGCAUCACAAUGGUCUGUGGUACCUCCUCUGCACCUUGGCCCAAGACCUAACAGCAACAAAAAUAAGGUGAGUGUGUUUUACAAGUCAACUCCUAGUGCUCAGAUUAUCUUACCAAGUGUUGCAGGUGGAGGGGUUCCGGGUGGCCUCAGGGCCACUAAGGUUCAGGAGGUGGACGUGCCUAAUAGUCCAUGGGGGCAGGGCGUCUCCAGGGUAGGGCAUACAGAAUCGUCCAGUUAACGGAGGAGGUCCCCAGGAUCCAGACUGCCCUGCAGAACAGAAAUGACAGCUACAUCCAUAUGCCAGACAAGAGAACCAAUACCAAAAGCAGCUGUAACCCAGAGAAGAAUGUGUCAGCACCUGCCACCUUCUCUGCCACCAGGAUCCAAGAGUGUAGCAUCAGUACCUGAAAACUCUGUCCCUGCCACUGGAUGCCACCACACAUCACUGCCCAUGUCUGCAGAAGUAAACUGGCAAGGGUCCUGUCCUAGAGGAUUAACAGAAGUAAUUACAGAUUAAUGAAGUAGCAUUCUCCCGACAUGCAGCCAUCGAUGUCCAGGUUCACCCUGCAUCCCUCCUCUACGGCGACUCCAGAUGCUCUGCUUUGGGUAUAUUAAGAACACAAAAAAAAUGAGUGGGAAUAAACGGCUCAUAUUCUGCUCAUGGAAUCACAGCCACUCCUGGCAAAAGGUUCUGCAGCCGGACCCUCGCUGUGCCUUCUCUGCUCCUCUCCCUGAGAAAGGAGUCUUCCCUCUUGAAGUGUUGUCAAAGGCUCAGAGACCUCUGGGCAGUGGAGGAUGCCUGGAAUCUUGCAGGGGAAGGAGAGUCUUCUGUGAAGAACGAGUUACUUGUGGUGAAUGUCUACAAAGCUCAGAUGUGUUCAUCUUAAUUCAUAGGGAAUUCUGACUUUAAGCAUACGACAGGACACAGAGUCAUUAUGUACAAUGGAAAAAAAGAGGGAGAAAUUCACAUAACAGAUUUCAUGCAAGUGUUCUGGUAUAAAACUCCUGGUAUGUGUCAUGAGACUGUAUCAGCUCUAACAGUGACGGGACAAAACCAGAAACUGCUCAUAGAAACACAAUUGAAGGACACAGUGUUCAAACUAUUUUUACCUAAGGUAUAGCUGGAGGAUUCCAGACAAGUCAUUUACCAACAAAGAUGGAAAGGUGAUGAGUGAUGACAUUGGCUUUCUCUAUGACCGCUCUAAAUGGCACAGGGCACAAAAUAUAAAGUUGGAGUCACGAUGUCGUUUCUAACAGGUUCAUCUCCUAGCCAGAAUCAAGAAAGGAAGACACAGCAGCCACACUGUUCCCACAGAGGUGAGGUCUGGAAGGCGUCACCCAGGCCAGGAGACCUUUGUUUGGAGUGUGGAGUCAUCCUCCUCCUCAUUAUUUCCUGAAACUCAAGGAAAAACAUUAAGAGACGUGUGGAGCAAGAAAUUGCUGUGGCUGAGGUCAAAGAAGUUGUUGCCUGUUUUCUCCUCUACAGUUUUGAUGGUUUCCUGUCUCACAUUUAGGUUUCCAUCCUGUCAAUGCUGAUCUUUUUGGUCCAAGAAGCACAGACCAGACCCAGAACAGGAUGUGGACAGCUGUGGCCACAACUACUUCAGGCUGGUGGAGAAACCUGCCCUGUGGUCCUCAGUCUUCAGGAAGAACUGAAGUUCUUCUGAAGUUCCCAUCAAGAACCCCAUGAAAAAGCUGUUGUUUAACCACAGUGUGAAUGAACUCAAUACGAAGGAAGAAUCUACCGAUGUCCCAUAUUACUCACAUUUGGGUUUGAGUAACUGGGAAACAAGACCAUGAGUAGACAGACAAAACAGCUUCUGUACCUUCAUGUCCUGGUUGUAUCAGGCGGCACAGGGGCACCAGGGAGGAGAUGGGGUGGGAAUGCAGUGGGGUGGUAAUUGGAUUGGAGGUGGUGUUUCAGUAAGGGUGAGAUUGGGGAGGGGGUGUGUCAGGAGAAGAAGGAGGUGAGGGACAGUACCAAGAUUAGAUCAAGUACUAGAGUAGAGGGAGGGGGGGUUCAGACAGGUUAGUUGGUCAGCAGGUCAAUAAAUCACUAGGUGAGCAGGACACAAGUAGCAGCUGGAGCAGAGGAGGAUCCAUCUAUGUUCAAGCUUUCAACUCUCUGAGCAUUGCUUUAACAGCCUGUAACCUUUAUUCAUUCAUUCAUUCUCUCUCUCUCUCUCUCUCUCUCUCUCUCUCUCUCUCUCUCUCUCGACCAAUCAGCUCCCUUCACCCCUGGUAGAUCAACACAGACACCCAGCGUGACUUUAUUUUUUAAAAAGCCACUUCUCACCUACCACAUCACCACAUGCCAUCCCAACAACUGCUGCUCUCUGGAACACUGGCAGACCUUCUGGUUUCUGGUCCCUCCCAACCCAGGUCCCUUUCCCCUCUUCUCGGAGCUCUCUCCUUCCUUUCAGAACUCCAAUGAAAUACAUAAGCAGAAUGAGAGUUUUCAACCCUCUCUAAAUAACUCAAAGAAGACAUAACAUCCAUAAGAUAUAGAUCUUGCUAGUAACCAUCUGAAAUCCCACGGCGAUAUCCAUAUAUGUGUUCACAUCUACAUAUAACACUGUGGAGGACACAUUAACUUCAGGCACAUAGGAUACAGAUACAAAAACUCAUACUACUUAUCUUGGCCAUACGUGAAAUUUCAAUAUAUUCCAGAGGAAUGAAACACACAGAGCAUCUUUUGGUAAUAUAAUGUGCUAGAAAUCGCUGCUAAAAAGCUAACUAGAAAUUCCCAUAUGUUUAGUAAUUGAGAAGUCCCUCUAUAAAUAUGAAUAAAGAAAUCCCAAAGAAAAAGAGCUAUAUUUGACUGAAUGAGCAUGAUAAAAUUAUAAUCAAAUAUGUCUCCAGACCUGGAAUAUCCUGAAAUAUUGGUGUGAGAAGGCUGUCUGGUCCCCAAAUCAUCUCUAAUUGGCCUAGACCUUUUAAUAUCUCAAAUAGUGGUCGAUCUCUCACUUGUCUAUGUGACGCUCCUACCCAUUAGGUUGGACUUUACAUUAUGAACCCCACAGGGGGAAUAAUCCAAGCUGACUCUCAUGGCAUCUCCUGGGAUCUGCAGGAAUGAGAGCAUUUUAAGAUAAAUAGUUCAUCAGCUUAUCUCUUGGAGGCCCUGGGACAACACCCAUAUUGUUAGCAGCACCAGGUGUGCUGGGCAGGGAGGGCCUAGCAGGUGGCCAGGGUCACCCCAAUUAUAACUGGAGCAGGGAUCAGGGAAAGAAGCAGCAGUGAACAGAGAUUGGGGGCCUUGAACAGGUGAGAUCAUUCAUGGAGGUAAGGUAGUGUCCCCAAAGCCAGUAUCAGCUUCCCAUCUGGAGAGCCCUUUGUGGACCCUGGGGGCAGGGCCAGGAGCUUAGAGUUUGAGAUCCAGUGUGCUGCUUACCAGCUGUGUGACCCUGGGCUGUGUUCUUUCAGUAAAAUGGUGUCCUUCCGUGUCCAUGCCUGUGUCCAUAACUGUGCUAUGGACAGGAGGAAGCCACGUCCUAAGCACCUUUGCACAUUAGUGUCACCAUCUCUAUGUGAUGCAGGGUCAUCGAGCCCAAUGGUCAUGAAUGAAUUCUUGAGACAUUUUAUGGUGCAAAAAGGUGUUUUAAUUAUACCACAGGGACAGGACCCAUUGGCAGAAAGAGUUGUACUUGGAAGGUAAGGAAUGACUGAUUGUAUACUUUUAAGUUUGGGGGAUGGGGAAGGUAGAGAUAACCUAAGUCUCUAAAGGGAUUUGUGCAUGUUAGAGAAGAGUCACGGGAUCCUGGAGUUCAGGCUGUUGUGAAGCCAGUUGCUUUCAGUCUCUAGAAAAACAUCAACAUUAAGGCAGCCAUGAGCACUUUGUGCAGGGUCACGCUCUGCAUGUCUCAGGGAUUUAUCAGUGAGCUGCAAGUUGUGAGAAAAUAUAAUUUCGAUUAUGGUU
This is a long non-coding RNA of Felis catus (domestic cat), 9207 nucleotides long. RefSeq lists it as uncharacterized. The record is from RefSeq and is a predicted model, not a curated record. NCBI's taxonomy places the organism in Eukaryota, Metazoa, Chordata, Mammalia, Carnivora, Felidae. The transcript is spliced from 4 exons.